UUUAAAUUUCACCGGAAUUUUCAUUUUCCGAGCAAAAAAAUGAGUAAGAGUAGCAAUCCAAAAGGAAGAACUACGAUUGAAGUUGGAGCUGAUGGAGUUGCCGUCAUUACAAUUAUCAAUCCUCCAGUCAAUUCUCUCGCAUUAGAUGUGCUGUAUAGCUUGAAAGAGAACUACGAUCAGGCCUUAAGAAGGGAUGAUGUGAAAGCAAUUGUUGUGAUAGGCGCAAAUGGCAAGUUCUCUGGUGGUUUUGAUAUCAGUGCCUUCGGUAAACUGCAGGGAGGAACAGUAGAAUCACCAAAGCCUGGGUUUAUAUCAGUGGAGAUCCUGACUGACACCGUUGAAGCUGCAAGAAAACCUUCUGUGGCGGCAAUUGAUGGUCUGGCUCUAGGUGGAGGACUAGAAGUUGCAAUGGCUUGUCAUGCACGAAUUUCUACUCCCAAUGCACAACUUGGAUUGCCAGAACUUCAACUUGGUAUACUUCCAGGGUUUGGAGGUACUCAGCGCCUCCCCCGCCUCGUAGGUCUUGCUAAGUCCCUUGAAAUGAUGCUAACAUCAAAGCCUGUUAAAGGAGAGGAAGCUGUUAAUCUGGGCCUUGUUGACGCUGUAGUUCCAUCAAACCAAUUAUUGGAUACUGCUCGUAAGUGGGCUCUUGAUAUUUUGGAGUGCAGAAAGCCUUGGGUUGCCAGUCUUCACAAAACUGACAAGAUAGAACCUCUUGGUGAGGCUAGGGAAGUAUUAAAGUUUGCAAGAGUUCAAACUCGCAGACAGGCUCCUAACCUCCAGCAUCCCUUAGUUGUCAUUGAUGUUGUUGAAGAGGGUAUAGUGUCUGGCCCACGUGCUGGGCUUUGGAAGGAGGCUGAAGCAUUCCAAAGUCUUCUACAUUCCGACACCUGCAAGGCCUUGGUCAGCGUUUUCUUUGCUCAGCGUGCAACCACAAAGGUUCCAGGGGUAACUGACUUAGGAUUAAAACCGCGACGCAUAAAAAAGGUCGCAAUUCUUGGAGGAGGUUUAAUGGGUUCUGGAAUUGCGACUGCAUUGCUUCUUAGUAACUACCCGGUGAUCUUGAAAGAAGUUAAUGACAAAUUCCUACAGGCUGGGUUGGGUAGAGUAAAAGCCAAUUUGCAAAGUAGUGUCAAGAAAGGGAAAAUGAGUCCAGAGAAGUUUGAAAAAACUCUCUCCCUACUCAAGGGUGCUCUGGAUUAUGAAGAUUUUAGAGACGUGGACAUGGUCAUUGAGGCUGUCAUCGAGAAUGUAUCUCUAAAGCAGCAAAUAUUUGCAGAUCUUGAGAAGUACUGCCCUCCGCAUUGCAUUCUAGGAAGCAACACUUCUACGAUUGACUUGAAUUUGAUUGGGGAAAAGACCAAAUCUCAAGAUCGUAUUAUUGGAGCUCACUUUUUCAGUCCGGCUCAUGUGAUGCCAUUGUUGGAAAUCGUCCGCACCCAAAAGACAUCGCCCCAAGUAAUUGUUGACUUGCUUGAUGUUGGCAAGAAGAUAAGGAAGACCCCUGUAGUGGUUGGGAACUGCACUGGUUUUGCUGUGAAUAGAAUGUUCUUUCCUUACACCCAAGCUGCCCUUUUGCUAGUCGAACGUGGAGCGGACGUCUUUCGCAUAGAUAGGGUCAUUACGAAAUUUGGCAUGCCAAUGGGCCCCUUCAGAUUAUGUGAUCUUGUUGGUUUUGGUGUUGCAAUUGCCACUGGUGGGCAAUUUGUGAUGAAUUUCCCGGAGAGAACUUACAAAUCAAUGUUGAUACCGCUCAUGCAAGAAGAUAAAAGGGCUGGUGAAACUACUCGGAGAGGGUUUUAUGUGUAUGACGACAGACGUAAAGCGAGCCCAGAUCCAGAAAUAAAGAAAUAUAUUGAGAAGGCAAGAGAGAUGUCUGGUGUUACCAUUGACCCUAAGAUGGCAAAACUCUCGGACAAGGAUAUCAUAGAGAUGAUUUUCUUCCCUGUGGUAAAUGAAGCCUGCAGAGUGCUUGCAGAAGGCAUAGCGGUUAAAUCUUCUGAUCUUGACAUUUCUGCCAUUAUGGGCAUGGGAUUCCCUCCUUACAGAGGAGGGAUCAUAUUCUGGGCAGACACUCUUGGAUCCAAAUACAUCUGUUCACGAUUGGAUGAGUGGUCAAGAAUGUAUGGAGACUUUUUCAAGCCUUGUUCCUACCUAGCUGAAAGAGCUUCCAAGGGGGCUCCUCUGAAUGCUGCAACAGAUUCAGCCAAGUCGCGCUUGUAAGAUGAGCAAUGCUAGUGAGCGUUCUUCCACUUCGAAGCUUCGUUAUUUUCUUACUCUGGUCAGCUAAUAGGAUUUGGCAAGGAAGAGUCAAUAAGCAUAUAUCAUUACAAGUUUGGAUCACAAAGUUGAAUUAUUAUUUUGCUCCCCUACUAAAUUAAUAAAUGAGAACAUUUAUAUUGCUUUUAGUCGUAAUCAUAAAUUUCAUAAUGGAAGAAUUUGAUAAAUUAUGAUAUGGAAUG
Molecule: unclassified non-coding RNA, 2462 nt
Filed under: Hevea brasiliensis (rubber tree)
Lineage: Eukaryota; Viridiplantae; Streptophyta; Magnoliopsida; Malpighiales; Euphorbiaceae
Source: RNAcentral